UACGUAGGGGGCUAGCGUUGUCCGGAUUUAUUGGGCGUAAAGGGCGUGUAGGCGGCCUGGCAGGUCUGCUGUGAAAACUCGAGGCUCAACCUCGAGAUGUCGGCGGAAACCGUCUGGCUAGAGUCCGGAAGAGGAGAGUGGAAUUCCUGGUGUAGCGGUGAAAUGCGCAGAUAUCAGGAAGAACACCUAUGGCGAAGGCAGCUCUCUGGGACGGUACUGACGCUGAGACGCGAAAGCGUGGGGAGCGAACAGG
RNAcentral lists this ribosomal RNA (253 nucleotides) under uncultured bacterium. RNAcentral describes it as "partial 16S ribosomal RNA". It matches the Rfam family "Bacterial small subunit ribosomal RNA", at positions 524 to 776 of the family's 1533-position model. The record is from RNAcentral.